UACAGAGGUGGCAAGCGUUGUUCGGAAUUACUGGGCGUAAAGGGCGCGUAGGCGGCCUUCUAAGUCAGACGUGAAAUCCCCAGGCUUAACUUGGGAACUGCGUCUGAUACUGGGAGGCUUGAGUGCGGGAGAGGGAUGUGGAAUUCCAGGUGUAGCGGUGAAAUGCGUAGAUAUCUGGAGGAACACCGGUGGCGAAGGCGGCCCACUGGCUCGACACUGACGCUGAGGUGCGAAAGCGUGGGGAGCAAACAGG
This 253-nucleotide ribosomal RNA is filed under the name uncultured bacterium. Its description in RNAcentral is "partial 16S ribosomal RNA". It matches the Rfam family "Bacterial small subunit ribosomal RNA", at positions 524 to 776 of the family's 1533-position model. The record is from RNAcentral.